This 386-nucleotide ribosomal RNA is filed under the name uncultured bacterium. RNAcentral's name for it is "partial 16S ribosomal RNA". It matches the Rfam family "Bacterial small subunit ribosomal RNA", at positions 355 to 730 of the family's 1533-position model. The record is from RNAcentral.
UGGGGAAUUUUGGACAAUGGGCGAAAGCCUGAUCCAGCAAUGCCGCGUGUGUGAAGAAGGCCUUCGGGUUGUAAAGCACUUUUGUCCGGAAAGAAAUCCUUGGCUCUAAUACAGUCGGGGGAUGACGGUACCGGAAGAAUAAGCACCGGCUAACUACGUGCCAGCAGCCGCGGUAAUACGCAGGGUGCAAGCGUUAAUCGGAAUUACUGGGCGUAAAGCGUGCGCAGGCGGUUUGCUAAGACCGAUGUGAAAUCCCCGGGCGUCAACCUAGGGAACUGGCAUUGGUGAUCUGGCAGGCUAGAGUAUGGCAGAGGGGGUGAGAAUACCACGUGUAGCAGUGAAAUGCGUAGAGAUGUGGAGGAAUACCGAUGGCGAAGGCAGCCCCU